This 823-nucleotide ribosomal RNA is filed under the name uncultured Sphingobacteriales cum 'Crenotrichaceae' bacterium. RNAcentral describes it as "bacterial SSU rRNA". It matches the Rfam family "Bacterial small subunit ribosomal RNA", at positions 74 to 896 of the family's 1533-position model. Lineage: Bacteria; Pseudomonadati; Bacteroidota; Sphingobacteriia; Sphingobacteriales. The record is from RNAcentral.
UAGCAAUACAGUUGAUGGCGACCGGCAAACGGGUGCGGAACACGUACACAACCUUCCUUUUAGUGGAGAAUAGCCCAGGGAAACUUGGAUUAAUACUCCGUAACAUAUAGAAGUGGCAUCACUUUUAUAUUAUAGCAGCAAUGCGCUAGAAGAUGGGUGUGCGGCUGAUUAGAUAGUUGGCGGGGUAACGGCCCACCAAGUCGACGAUCAGUAACUGGUGUGAGAGCACGACCAGUCACACGGGCACUGAGACACGGGCCCGACUCCUACGGGAGGCAGCAGUAAGGAAUAUUGGUCAAUGGACGCAAGUCUGAACCAGCCAUGCCGCGUGGAGGAUGAAGGUCCUCUGGAUUGUAAACCUCUUUUAUUUGGGAAGAAACCCACCUUUUCUAAGAUGGUUGACGGUACCAGAUGAAUAAGCACCGGCUAACUCCGUGCCAGCAGCCGCGGUAAUACGGAGGGUGCAAGCGUUAUCCGGAUUCACUGGGUUUAAAGGGUGCGUAGGUGGGCAAGUAAGUCAGUGGUGAAAUCUCCGGGCUUAACCCGGAAACUGCCAUUGAUACUAUUUGUCUUGAAUACUGUGGAGGUCAGCGGAAUAUGUCAUGUAGCGGUGAAAUGCUUAGAUAUGACAUAGAACACCAAUUGCGAAGGCAGCUGGCUACACAAAUAUUGACACUGAGGCACGAAAGCGUGGGGAUCAAACAGGAUUAGAUACCCUGGUAGUCCACGCCCUAAACUAUGGAUACUCGACAUUUGCGAUAAACUGCAAGUGUCUGAGCGAAAGCAUUAAGUAUCCCACCUGGGAAGUACGAUCGCAAGAUUG